CGGAGCGUAGCGCAGCCUGGUAGCGCACUUGCAUGGGGUGCAAGGGGUCGCGAGUUCGAAUCCCGCCGCUCCGACCA
This 77-nucleotide transfer RNA is filed under the name Kerstersia similis. RNAcentral's name for it is "tRNA-Pro(ggg)". It matches the Rfam family "tRNA". From Rfam's summary of the family: Transfer RNA (tRNA) molecules are approximately 80 nucleotides in length. Their secondary structure includes four short double-helical elements and three loops (D, anti-codon, and T loops). The record is from RNAcentral. Lineage: Bacteria; Pseudomonadati; Pseudomonadota; Betaproteobacteria; Burkholderiales; Alcaligenaceae. RNAcentral also lists the same sequence under 9 other names.